GACUGGGGCUAAGUCGUAACAAGGUAGCCGUACCGGAAGGUGCGGCUGGAACACCUCCUUUCUGGAGCAAACU
RNAcentral lists this ribosomal RNA (73 nucleotides) under Tannerella sp. oral taxon BU063 isolate Cell 2. RNAcentral describes it as "partial 16S ribosomal RNA". The stretch from base 1 to 61 matches the Rfam family "Bacterial small subunit ribosomal RNA", at positions 1473 to 1533 of the family's 1533-position model. The record is from RNAcentral. Lineage: Bacteria; Pseudomonadati; Bacteroidota; Bacteroidia; Bacteroidales; Tannerellaceae.